Small nuclear RNA from Meriones unguiculatus (Mongolian gerbil), 122 nucleotides. The record is from Ensembl. Lineage: Eukaryota; Metazoa; Chordata; Mammalia; Rodentia; Muridae.
AUGUUGUACAAAAAAAGAAAAAUUCAGCACUCCCUGUCAAGAAUGGAAGAAAUGUUCACCUAACAGCAUGCAUACAGUUAAAGAUCUGCCACUUGUUUUGUUGCAUCUGAUCACGUUCCAUA